ACGGCGAGUGAACAGGGAAAAGCCCAAAUUUGUAAUCUGGCACUUUUUACAAGUGUCCGAGUUGUAAUUUGUAGAGCUGUUAUCCGUACUGGACCAUGUACAAGUCUGUUGAAAAGCAGCAUCAUUGAAGGUGAAAAUCCUGUAGAUGAUAUGGACUACCAGUAUAUUUGUGAUACGGUUUCUAAGAGUCGAGUUGUUUGGGAAUGCAGCUCAAAGUGGGUGGUAAAUUCCAUCUAAGGCUAAAUAUAAGUGAGAGACCGAUAGCAAACAAGUACCGUGAGGGAAAGAUGAAAAGAACUUUGAAAAUAGAGUUAACAGUACGUGAAAUUGCUGAAAGGGAAACGUUUGAAGUUAGUUUUGUAUUCGUUGGAUCAGCUUCGCAAGGAGUGUAUUCUGAUGAUAAGCAAGUCAACAUCAGUCUAUGAGUGUUGGAUAAGGGUUUUGAGAAUGUAGCAAUUUAAUUGUGUUAUAGCUUGAGACUUGGAUACAAUGCUUUGGAUUGAGGAACGCGUAGUAAGCUUUGAGCGGAUUCGAAAGGAUCUCCUUACUAUGGAUGUUGGUGAAAUAACUUUAAGCGACCCGUCUU
RNAcentral lists this ribosomal RNA (586 nucleotides) under Melampsora sp. TSH-R7681. Its description in RNAcentral is "eukaryotic LSU rRNA". It matches the Rfam family "Eukaryotic large subunit ribosomal RNA", at positions 86 to 655 of the family's 3401-position model. The record is from RNAcentral. RNAcentral also lists the same sequence under 2 other names. Lineage: Eukaryota; Fungi; Basidiomycota; Pucciniomycetes; Pucciniales; Melampsoraceae.